GGGGCUGUGGCUCAACGGUAGAGCACUCUUCUAGCAUGUGUGAGGCCCUGGGUUCGAUCCUCAGCACCA
This is a non-coding RNA of Ictidomys tridecemlineatus (thirteen-lined ground squirrel), 69 nucleotides long. Lineage: Eukaryota; Metazoa; Chordata; Mammalia; Rodentia; Sciuridae. The record is from Rfam.